This 985-nucleotide ribosomal RNA is filed under the name human gut metagenome. RNAcentral describes it as "bacterial LSU rRNA". It matches the Rfam family "Bacterial large subunit ribosomal RNA", at positions 1942 to 2925 of the family's 2925-position model. The record is from RNAcentral.
AUAACGGUCCUAAGGUAGCGAAAUUCCUUGUCAGGUAAGUUCUGACCCGCACGAAUGGCGUAAUGAUUUGGGCACUGUCUCGACAGCCCGCCCGGCGAAAUUGUAGUACUGGUGAAGAUGCCAGUUACCCGCAACUAGACGGAAAGACCCCAUGGAGCUUUACUGCAGUUUAAUACUGGGAAUCGGUAAUGCAUGUACAGGAUAGGUGGGAGACAUGGAAGCAUGGUCGUCAGGUCAUGUGGAGUCGCCGGUGGGAUACCACUCUUGUAUUGCUGAUUUCCUAACCUGCGGCCGUGAAUCCGGUCGGGGGACACUGUUAGGCGGGCAGUUUGACUGGGGCGGUCGCCUCCAAAAGAGUAACGGAGGCGCUCAAAGGUUCGUUCAGCACGGACGGAAAUCGUGCAUUGAGUGUAAACGCAUAAACGAGCCUAACUGCGAGACCGACGGGUCGAGCAGUAACGAAAGUUGGAGUUAGUGAUCCGGUGGUAUGUGAGUGGAAAUGCCAUCGCUCAACGGAUAAAAGCUACCCUGGGGAUAACAGGCUGAUCUCCCCCAAGCGUCCACAGCGACGGGGAGGUUUGGCACCUCGAUGUCGGCUCGUCGCAUCCUGGGGCUGUAUUCGGUCCCAAGGGUUUGGCUGUUCGCCAAUUAAAGCGGCACGCGAGCUGGGUUCAGAACGUCGUGAGACAGUUCGGUCCCUAUCUGUUGCGGGCGUAAGAGAUUUGAAGGGAGCUGUCCUUAGUACGAGAGGACCGGGAUGGACGUACCUCUGGUGCACCAGUUGUCCUGCCAAGGGCAUAGCUGGGUAGCUAUGUACGGACGAGAUAAACGCUGAAAGCAUCUAAGCGUGAAACUCCCCCUAAGAUGAGAUCUCUCAUCCUUUAUGGAGUAAGGGCCCAGAAAGACGAUCUGGUUGAUAGGCCGGAGGUGGAAGUGCAGCAAUGUAUGGAGCUGACCGGUACUAAUAGCCCGAGGGCUUGACCUA